UACGACUACAUAUCAGGCAUAUCAAUAAGCGGAGGAAAAGAAACUAACUAGGAUUCCCUCAGUAACGGCGAGUGAAGCGGGAAGAGCUCAAAUUUGAAAUCUUCAAGGUUUCACCUUGACGAAUUGUAGUUUAAAGAAGUGUUUUCUGUUGGAAUUUUCGGUAAAAGUUCUUUGGAAAUAGGACAUCAUAAGAGGGUGAGAAUCCCGUAUUUGACCAUUAUUUUCAGCUGUGUGAUACACUUUCAAAGAGUCGGAUUGUUUGGGAAUGCAGUCCAAAAUGGGUGGUAAAUUUCAUCUAAAGCUAAAUAUUGGCGAGAGACCGAUAGCGAACAAGUACCGUGAGGGAAAGAUGAAAAGAACUUUGAAAAGAGAGUUAAACAGUACGUGAAAUUGUCAAAAGGGAAGCGUUUGACACCAGUGUUGUUUUCUCGAAAAUCAAUUAAAAAUGACUGGAUUUUGUGUUGUAUUGACUUUAUCAGCUUUCUGCACUCUUUUCUUGUCUUUUUUAAUGCACUUUUCGUUUAACAAGUCAACAUCAAUUUCUUUUGUUGUAAAAGAGGUCAUUGGAAGGUGGCUUUCACUUUCGGAUGAAAGUGUUUAUAGCCUUUGGCUUCUGCAAUCGGAGAGAUUGAGGUCUGCAGCGUAGAUCCUUCGGGGUUAGAUACAUUAGAUGCUAAGUUAUAGCUUUUCAUAGACAACUUGUUGACUAUGAUUAGUCAUUGUAGCUUACUCGCUUAUGUAUUUUACCUACGCUUAGGAUGUUGAGUCUGUGCGAGACUAC
RNAcentral lists this ribosomal RNA (781 nucleotides) under uncultured Neocallimastigales. RNAcentral's name for it is "partial large subunit ribosomal RNA". It matches the Rfam family "Eukaryotic large subunit ribosomal RNA", at positions 24 to 644 of the family's 3401-position model. Lineage: Eukaryota; Fungi; Neocallimastigomycota; Neocallimastigomycetes; Neocallimastigales. The record is from RNAcentral.